RNAcentral lists this ribosomal RNA (398 nucleotides) under Metromonas sp. RNAcentral describes it as "partial small subunit ribosomal RNA". It matches the Rfam family "Eukaryotic small subunit ribosomal RNA", at positions 583 to 975 of the family's 1831-position model. The record is from RNAcentral. Lineage: Eukaryota; Cercozoa; Imbricatea; Metromonadea.
UUCCAGCUCCAGUAGCGUAUAUUAUUACUGUUGUAGUUAAAAAGCUCGUAGUUGAAUAUCUGGCGUUGGGAAGCCCUGCCCGCCGCGAUUCGCGUGUGAGUUGUGGGGCGUCCCCGCCAUCCUGUGUGGGAGCCCGCCUACCCUUCAUUGGGCCGGGCGGUGCGAGCACACUCAGUUACUUUGAGAAAAUCUGCGCGUUCAAAGCAGGCACACGCUAUGAAAGCUUCAGCAUGGAAUAACAAGAUAGGACCUGGGUCUCUAUUUUGUUGGUUUCUAGGAUCGAGGUGAUGAUUGAUAGGGACAGUUGGGGGUGCUUGUAUUUAACGGCCAGAGGUGAAAUUCUUGGAUUCGUUAAAGACAAACUACUGCGAAAGCAUUCACCAAGGAUGUCUUCAUCA